RNAcentral lists this long non-coding RNA (1257 nucleotides) under Citrus x clementina. Its description in RNAcentral is "Citrus clementina (C. clementina) long non-coding RNA (CCLE_LNC000031)". The record is from RNAcentral. Lineage: Eukaryota; Viridiplantae; Streptophyta; Magnoliopsida; Sapindales; Rutaceae.
CCUUGGUGGGGGGCGUGGGCGAAUUGGUGGGGGGCGUGGGCGAAUUUCGUCCGCGGGACUCGGAAUGGCACCAGACUUGGCGGGCGGCCUCCGUGUGCCAAAAAUAGGCCACGGGCACAGCCGCGCCCAAAAAACAGCCCCCGAAGUUCGGGGUCCCAAGACCCCCCAGUGGAAAAAUGGCCAAAAAACGGGUGGGCUAUAGCCUUGGUGGGGGGCGUGGGCGAAGUUCGUCCGCGGGACUCGGAAUGGCACCAGACUGGGCGGGCGGCCUCCGUGUGCCAAAAAUAGGCCACGGGCACAGCCGCGCCCAAAAAACAGACCCCGAAGUUCGGGGUCCCAAGACCCCCCAGCGGAAAAAUGGCCAAAAAACGGUGGGCUAUAGCCUUGGUGGGGUGCGUGGGCGAAGUUCGUCCGCGGGACUCGGAAUGGCACCAGACUUGGCGGGCGGCCUCCGUGUGCCAAAAAUAGGCCACGGGCACAGCCGCGCCCAAAAAACAGCCCCCGAAGUUCGGGGUCCCAAGACCCCCCAGCGGAAAAAUGGCCAAAAAACGGGUGGGCUAUAGCCUUGGUGGGGGGCGUGGGCGAAGUUCGUCCGCGGGACUCGGAAUGGCACCAGACUUGGCGGGCGGCCUCCGUGUGCCAAAAAUAGGCCACGGGCACAGCCGCGCCCAAAAAACAGCCCCCGAAGUUCGGGGUCCCAAGACCCCCCAGCGGAAAAAUGGCCAAAAAACGGGUGGGCUAUAGCCUUGGUGGGGGGCGUGGGCGAAGUUCGUCCGCGGGACUCGGAAUGGCACCAGACUUGGCGGGUGGCCUCCGUGUGCCAAAAAUAGGCCACGUGCACAGCCGCGCCCAAAAAACAGCCCCCGAAGUUCGGGGUCCCAAGACCCCCCAGCGGAAAAAUGGCCAAAAAACGGUGGGCUAUAGCCUUGGUGGGGGGCGUGGGCGAAGUUCGUCCGCGGGAUUCGGAAUGGCACCAGACUUGGCGGGCGGCCUCCGUGUGCCAAAAAUAGGCCGCGGGCACAGCCGCGCCCAAAAAACAACCCCCGAAGUUCGGGGUCCAAAGACCCCCCAGCGGAAAAAUGGCCAAAAAACGGGUGGGCUAUAGCCUUGGUGGGGGGCGUGGGCGAAGUUCGUCCGCGGGACUCGGAAUGGCACCAGACUUGGCGGGCGGCCUCCGUGUGCCAAAAAUAGGCCACGGGCACAGCCGCGCCCAAAAAUCAGCCCCCGAAGGUCGGGGUGCCAGGACCCCGCAGCGGA